Molecule: ribosomal RNA, 2923 nt
Filed under: Klebsiella pneumoniae
Lineage: Bacteria; Pseudomonadati; Pseudomonadota; Gammaproteobacteria; Enterobacterales; Enterobacteriaceae
Description: bacterial LSU rRNA
Rfam family: Bacterial large subunit ribosomal RNA
Source: RNAcentral
GGGUUGUGAGGUUAAGCGACUAAGCGUACACGGUGGAUGCCCUGGCAGUCAGAGGCGAUGAAGGACGUGCUAAUCUGCGAAAAGCGUCGGUAAGGUGAUAUGAACCGUUAUAACCGGCGAUGUCCGAAUGGGGAAACCCAGUGCAAUUCGUUGCACUAUCGUUAACUGAAUACAUAGGUUAACGAGGCGAACCGGGGGAACUGAAACAUCUAAGUACCCCGAGGAAAAGAAAUCAACCGAGAUUCCCCCAGUAGCGGCGAGCGAACGGGGAGCAGCCCAGAGUCUGAAUCAGCUUGUGUGUUAGUGGAACGGUCUGGAAAGUCCGACGGUACAGGGUGAUAGUCCCGUACACCAAAAUGCACAGGCUGUGAACUCGAAGAGUAGGGCGGGACACGUGGUAUCCUGUCUGAAUAUGGGGGGACCAUCCUCCAAGGCUAAAUACUCCUGACUGACCGAUAGUGAACCAGUACCGUGAGGGAAAGGCGAAAAGAACCCCGGCGAGGGGAGUGAAAAAGAACCUGAAACCGUGUACGUACAAGCAGUGGGAGCACCUUCGGGUGUGACUGCGUACCUUUUGUAUAAUGGGUCAGCGACUUAUAUUCUGUAGCAAGGUUAACCGUAUAGGGGAGCCGCAGGGAAACCGAGUCUUAACUGGGCGUUAAGUUGCAGGGUAUAGACCCGAAACCCGGUGAUCUAGCCAUGGGCAGGUUGAAGGUUGGGUAACACUAACUGGAGGACCGAACCGACUAAUGUUGAAAAAUUAGCGGAUGACUUGUGGCUGGGGGUGAAAGGCCAAUCAAACCGGGAGAUAGCUGGUUCUCCCCGAAAGCUAUUUAGGUAGCGCCUCGUGAACUCAUCUUCGGGGGUAGAGCACUGUUUCGGCUAGGGGGUCAUCCCGACUUACCAACCCGAUGCAAACUACGAAUACCGAAGAAUGUUAUCACGGGAGACACACGGCGGGUGCUAACGUCCGUCGUGAAGAGGGAAACAACCCAGACCGCCAGCUAAGGUCCCAAAGUCAUGGUUAAGUGGGAAACGAUGUGGGAAGGCACAGACAGCCAGGAUGUUGGCUUAGAAGCAGCCAUCAUUUAAAGAAAGCGUAAUAGCUCACUGGUCGAGUCGGCCUGCGCGGAAGAUGUAACGGGGCUAAACCAUGCACCGAAGCUGCGGCAGCGACACUAUGUGUUGUUGGGUAGGGGAGCGUUCUGUAAGCCUGCGAAGGUGUGCUGUGAGGCAUGCUGGAGGUAUCAGAAGUGCGAAUGCUGACAUAAGUAACGAUAAAGCGGGUGAAAAGCCCGCUCGCCGGAAGACCAAGGGUUCCUGUCCAACGUUAAUCGGGGCAGGGUGAGUCGACCCCUAAGGCGAGGCCGAAAGGCGUAGUCGAUGGGAAACAGGUUAAUAUUCCUGUACUUGGUGUUACUGCGAAGGGGGGACGGAGAAGGCUAUGUUAGCCGGGCGACGGUUGUCCCGGUUUAAGCAUGUAGGCUGGUUGUCCAGGCAAAUCCGGAUAAUCAAGGCUGAGGUGUGAUGACGAGGCACUACGGUGCUGAAGUAACAAAUGCCCUGCUUCCAGGAAAAGCCUCUAAGCAUCAGGUAACAUCAAAUCGUACCCCAAACCGACACAGGUGGUCAGGUAGAGAAUACCAAGGCGCUUGAGAGAACUCGGGUGAAGGAACUAGGCAAAAUGGUGCCGUAACUUCGGGAGAAGGCACGCUGGUGUGUAGGUGAAGCCCCUGCGGGUGGAGCUGAGACCAGUCGAAGAUACCAGCUGGCUGCAACUGUUUAUUAAAAACACAGCACUGUGCAAACACGAAAGUGGACGUAUACGGUGUGACGCCUGCCCGGUGCCGGAAGGUUAAUUGAUGGGGUUAUCCGUAAGGAGAAGCUCUUGAUCGAAGCCCCGGUAAACGGCGGCCGUAACUAUAACGGUCCUAAGGUAGCGAAAUUCCUUGUCGGGUAAGUUCCGACCUGCACGAAUGGCGUAAUGAUGGCCAGGCUGUCUCCACCCGAGACUCAGUGAAAUUGAACUCGCUGUGAAGAUGCAGUGUACCCGCGGCAAGACGGAAAGACCCCGUGAACCUUUACUAUAGCUUGACACUGAACAUUGAGCCUUGAUGUGUAGGAUAGGUGGGAGGCUUUGAAGCGUGGACGCCAGUCUGCGUGGAGCCAACCUUGAAAUACCACCCUUUAAUGUUUGAUGUUCUAACGUUGGCCCCUGACCGGGGUUGCGGACAGUGUCUGGUGGGUAGUUUGACUGGGGCGGUCUCCUCCCAAAGCGUAACGGAGGAGCACGAAGGUUAGCUAAUCCUGGUCGGACAUCAGGAGGUUAGUGCAAUGGCAUAAGCUAGCUUGACUGCGAGCGUGACGGCGCGAGCAGGUGCGAAAGCAGGUCAUAGUGAUCCGGUGGUUCUGAAUGGAAGGGCCAUCGCUCAACGGAUAAAAGGUACUCCGGGGAUAACAGGCUGAUACCGCCCAAGAGUUCAUAUCGACGGCGGUGUUUGGCACCUCGAUGUCGGCUCAUCACAUCCUGGGGCUGAAGUAGGUCCCAAGGGUAUGGCUGUUCGCCAUUUAAAGUGGUACGCGAGCUGGGUUUAGAACGUCGUGAGACAGUUCGGUCCCUAUCUGCCGUGGGCGCUGGAGAAUUGAGGGGGGCUGCUCCUAGUACGAGAGGACCGGAGUGGACGCAUCACUGGUGUUCGGGUUGUCAUGCCAAUGGCACUGCCCGGUAGCUAAAUGCGGAAGAGAUAAGUGCUGAAAGCAUCUAAGCACGAAACUUGCCCCGAGAUGAGUUCUCCCUGAGACUUUAAGUCUCCUGAAGGAACGUUAAAGACGAUGACGUUGAUAGGCCGGGUGUGUAAGCGCAGCGAUGCGUUGAGCUAACCGGUACUAAUGAACCGUGAGGCUUAACCUUACAACGCCGAAG